Molecule: long non-coding RNA, 405 nt
Filed under: Homo sapiens (human)
Lineage: Eukaryota; Metazoa; Chordata; Mammalia; Primates; Hominidae
Description: HSALNT0346234
Source: RNAcentral
AACGGAGGCAGAGACUGUAAUGAUGCAGCUACAAGUCGAGGAGUGCCAAGGAUUGCCAGACACCAGCAGAAGCUAAGAAAAGAGGCACCAUCCACUUGGCUCUGGACGACGCCCUGCCUGGCUGAGCUGCCCUGGGAGCUGUCAACACGGGUGUGCGUGCUGGUAUUCCAGAGGCUGCAUGCUCACCUGUGGGUGCUGUGGGAGCAAGGACAGUCGCACUGGGAGAAAGGUGUUUCCCUUCAACCUCACGAUUCCCCGAGCCUAUGACUGGAUUCCUGGCCUGUGGUUUUCAAACUUCAGAGUAUAGGCCUUUACUUUUGUUUAAUAACAUGUAGGUUGUACUAACCAGGUGCCAGGCUGUGGUCUAAGUGCUCACAAACAUUAGCUCAUGUAAUUCUCAUCAGA